This is a long non-coding RNA of Acanthopagrus latus (yellowfin seabream), 771 nucleotides long. RefSeq lists it as uncharacterized. NCBI's taxonomy places the organism in Eukaryota, Metazoa, Chordata, Actinopteri, Spariformes, Sparidae. The record is from RefSeq and is a predicted model, not a curated record. The transcript is spliced from 2 exons.
UACUAUGGAACAGGAAAAAAGAACACAAAUAAAAGCACAAUGAAAUCAUUGGUGCUACUGCAUGUAUUUUUUUUCUUCUUUUUUUUCUUAACAAUGCACGUCAAGUUACUACCAUUAUUAUUACAUAAUCAACACAGGUAGCCUACUGCAAUGGAGGGUGAUGUUACUGUUGUUGUUGUUAUUAUAAGCCCAAUUCAGCGAGUGUGAUUAUUCAUAUUUAUGCUGUUUUCAUUUGACGCUAUGUUUUUGGUUCUGGGCACCAUUUUAAUUUUUUUUUUUUUUUUUUAAGACCAGCAACUGCCUCUUACUCAGAGGUAUGGCCGUUACACUGAGAGGACCUUUAACUGACAUUAACUCCUGAGUGUUGGGGCCAGUGAGACAGAUGGUCCAUGGAAAUGAUCCCCUCUAGUCCCCAGCACAUUCAAACGGACAGGCUGCGCUGCCUGCACACACACACCAGAGCAGCCAAUCACUGGACCCCUCCGAUCAGGACCCUCCGGCUUUGGCACCCUGCUCCACCAACGGGAACAGCGCCGGGGCGGGGACGUCUGUGUUUUGGACGGCCCGCCCCCUCCCAUGACUGGAUCCACGGAUCCAGCAGCCCAGAUAAGGUGCUUAGUGCUGCUGGUUCCCCUAUCAGGGAAUGUUAAUGUGUUGAAUUACACUUCAUCCCAACAGUGACACAGAAUGUACUGUUUAUUAAAGAUCUGAGAUGGAGAUAGCCAUCAAAAUAAUAACAGUGGAGAUUAAAUAUUACCCAGUAAUGUGUGA